GGUAAUUCUGGAGCUAAUACAUGCAUAAAAGAUGUUUUUGUAAAAACAUUGCAUAUAUUAGUAUUAAAACCAAGCAUUCUUCGGGAUGUUUUGUGUUGAAACUGAAUAUAUCAUGCUGAUCGUAUGGUCUUGUACCGACGACAUGUCAUUCAAGUGUCUGAUCUAUCAACUUUCUAUAUAAGUAUAUAGUACUUAUAUGGUUUUGACGGAUAACGGGGUAUUAGGGUACGACUCCGGAGAAAAUGCCUGAGAAACGGCGUUUACAUCCAAGGAAGGCAGCAGGCGCGAAAAUUACCCACUCUCAGUACGAGGAGGUAGUGACGAGAAAUGACAAGAUCUAUUCCUUCGGGGAUGGAUCAUUGGAAUGGUUUGAUUUUAAAAUCAUAAAGAGAUCAGAGGGCAA
RNAcentral lists this ribosomal RNA (403 nucleotides) under Panagrolaimus sp. PS1579. RNAcentral describes it as "SSU rRNA". It matches the Rfam family "Eukaryotic small subunit ribosomal RNA", at positions 151 to 558 of the family's 1831-position model. The record is from RNAcentral. Lineage: Eukaryota; Metazoa; Nematoda; Chromadorea; Rhabditida; Panagrolaimidae.